AUAUUGUCACUAUUUGUAGAU
This 21-nucleotide microRNA is filed under the name Callorhinchus milii (elephant shark). RNAcentral describes it as "eshark_mir-1000_1". Lineage: Eukaryota; Metazoa; Chordata; Chondrichthyes; Chimaeriformes; Callorhinchidae. The record is from RNAcentral.